UGAAAUGCGAUGAAGGAGUCCAGUGUUCCUGUUAAACCGCUUCAGAGAGCCGGUGGUUGGUGUGAACCGGCACGGUUUUGGAGCAUGCCUCCCUCCCGAGCAGGUCUUCUGAAAUUCGAUGGCGAAAAAUAGGAAGGCACGGUUAACCCCGUUACAGGUGAAGGUUUGUUAGAACCUCAUGAGGUCCUUAUCGUGAGAUAAGGAUAAAAAUAGGGUGGUAACGCGUGGAGUGUAUCCCUCGCCCCUGUU
Molecule: non-coding RNA, 249 nt
Filed under: [Clostridium] cellulosi
Lineage: Bacteria; Bacillati; Bacillota; Clostridia; Eubacteriales; Oscillospiraceae
Description: Clostridium cellulosi T-box sequence
Rfam family: T-box leader
About the family: Uncharged tRNA acts as the effector for transcription antitermination of genes in the T-box leader family. T-boxes are found upstream of many aminoacyl-tRNA synthetase genes and some amino acid biosynthetic genes usually in Gram-positive bacteria.
Source: RNAcentral